Molecule: long non-coding RNA, 181 nt
Organism: Polypterus senegalus (gray bichir)
Lineage: Eukaryota; Metazoa; Chordata; Cladistia; Polypteriformes; Polypteridae
Exons: 3
Source: RefSeq, a predicted model, not a curated record
AGCGUGUUGGGUGGCCAGUCUGAGUCUGACACACACACGCCAACGAGACGAGUCGAGAUGUCUGCCAUGCGCCUCCUGCUGCUGUGCGUCGCCUUCAUUUGCCUCUCAGCUUUGACAAGCGGGGCAGACAUCCCCCCACAGCCCAACUGUAAGACCCUUGUGAAUCUUGACUGCACGCUCA